Molecule: long non-coding RNA, 269 nt
Filed under: Callithrix jacchus (white-tufted-ear marmoset)
Lineage: Eukaryota; Metazoa; Chordata; Mammalia; Primates; Cebidae
Description: lncRNA (ENSCJAG00000081208.1)
Source: RNAcentral
AUCUAUAUAUCAUUUAAUCCUCAUAGGUUCCCUGAAUUAAAAGUAUUAGAUUAAUUUUCAGGUAAGAAAACUGAUGCUUAGAGAGGUGAGGAAGCAUGCCUUAAGUGAUCAAGGUGGAGGACUCAAGCCGGGAUGAAAGCCAGGAUGUAGGACUCCAAGGUUAAGACUUGGUGUGUUUCCUCUUGCUCUGAAUAAUGCCAGGCUGCACCGUGAUGUCAAAGACCCAGACCUAGAAGCUAAAACUGUGGCUUCUCAUGCCGGCCCUGCCA